Long non-coding RNA from Pollicipes pollicipes, 291 nucleotides. RefSeq lists it as uncharacterized. The record is from RefSeq and is a predicted model, not a curated record. Lineage: Eukaryota; Metazoa; Arthropoda; Thecostraca; Pollicipedomorpha; Pollicipedidae. The transcript has 4 exons.
GAUCCGGUGUGGGUGUCCGUGCGCCGGCCUUUCUGGGAUGGGUGCCACGGGGUGAGGACGUGGUGUGGCCUGUGAAAGUAUGCAUUACCGAAGAGCAGGAUGCUCCCAAUGUGGAAUUACCUGAGAAUGUCAGGAUUGGAGCAGGGGAAUGACUUCAAGAUUCUGACUGCUGACAUUAGAUGGCCUCAGCUGUCUGCACAGCCCCAAACAUCAAUAUAAUCACCAGCACCACCAUCUGAUGUUUGACUGCCGCUCAGCAUUACUGACAGGUGUGUUGUCAUAAUCUUGCCC